UUUACUCUUGUUUUGGCCCUAUCUUUUAUAUAUGUUGUUUUUCUCCUGCUCCAUUCUCUAUUCUCGCCACCCAGAAUUCAUCACCACCAUGGCAAUCAGCAGCAACAACGACUCCACCACCACUAGCAGUGCCUCCAGAAGCAGUAGCAGCGACUCCACUAGAAACAACAACCGAUGUUGAAACCUGAUGGGAUGGCAUUGGAUUAUGGUUUUAAAUACCAGUGAAGCUAUCAUAGAGUACGCCGUCAUUUGGGAAGAAAUGAUGGGUCACCUAAUAUUGAAAGGCGUGGCUUCGAAGGGCUUAAUUAGAGAAGAAAGCACUGGAUAAGGAUGAAUGGUAAUUGGAGAAAAUGGAUGACACUCUACUGCAUAAUCCUGGGUUCUAGUUAGCCUCAAAAUUUUUGGCAGCUUAUCUAGGGUAUGCAUUUCAAAACUUUAUCAAUGAUGAGAAUUGGGGUUUUAGGACAUGAUAAUGUUCUUUAGGCCAACUCAAUAAUGGCAUUUUUAUGCUUGAUGUCUUUCUCUUGCUGGGUUUUUAUCGACUGCUCAAUUGCAUGUACAAGCUAUCCUGUUAGCUAUUGAACAGGUAUUGUAAGAGCAGCUUAUAAUGAUGUCUAGGCCUAUGUUACUUGUGUUUAGUGUUAAUGUUCUUAACUCGCUCCCAGUUUAAGUGGAUAAAAAAAUAAAAUGUUCUUCAGGAUAAUUUGCAACCCCAACUAAAUAUAAACACAAGACAUACCAGUAUAUACUGUGGGCUGCAUCUCUAUGAUCUCUCGUUUUGCUUUACUUUGUGAAAAAACUGAUCUAUGUUAUGGCUUCAAAAUUACGUGGUGGUUUUUCUGUUUUCAAGAAAAAUGAAAAAGGACGUGUUUUGAUUUCGGCCAUGACAGGGUUCACGACUUUGACUAGCUUUAUAUAUAUAUAUAUGUCCAGUAGCUGCAAUCUUUGU
Molecule: long non-coding RNA, 949 nt
Organism: Populus euphratica (Euphrates poplar)
Lineage: Eukaryota; Viridiplantae; Streptophyta; Magnoliopsida; Malpighiales; Salicaceae
Exons: 3
Source: RefSeq, a predicted model, not a curated record